GUCUACGGCCAUGCUACCCUGAACAAACCCGAUCCCGGAAGCCUGAUCUCGCAAGCUAAGCAGGGUUGGGCCUGGUUAGUACUUGGAUGAGAGAUCACCUAGGAAGACCAGGUGCUGUAGGUG
RNAcentral lists this ribosomal RNA (123 nucleotides) under Pteropus alecto (black flying fox). Lineage: Eukaryota; Metazoa; Chordata; Mammalia; Chiroptera; Pteropodidae. The record is from RNAcentral.